GGGUCCUUUAAACUGGUCCAGUGAGGCCGGUAAGGAAGACGGAGAACAUAUAGAUAAAGUAAACCUUCUUGCCGGUCGGUAAGAAGGUUUUUUUGU
This is a regulatory RNA element of Halothermothrix orenii H 168, 96 nucleotides long. It matches the Rfam family "PyrR binding site". From Rfam's summary of the family: This family represents the PyrR binding site and terminator structure. This RNA structure is found upstream of a variety of genes involved in pyrimidine biosynthesis and transport. Lineage: Bacteria; Bacillati; Bacillota; Clostridia; Halanaerobiales; Halothermotrichaceae. The record is from Rfam.